Molecule: ribosomal RNA, 493 nt
Filed under: uncultured bacterium
Lineage: Bacteria
Description: bacterial SSU rRNA
Rfam family: Bacterial small subunit ribosomal RNA
Source: RNAcentral
ACGGCCCUAUGGGUUGUAAACUGCUUUUGCGCGGGGAUAACACCCUCCACGUGCUGGGGGUCUGCAGGUACCGCGCGAAUAAGGACCGGCUAAUUCCGUGCCAGCAGCCGCGGUAAUACGGAAGGUCCGGGCGUUAUCCGGAUUUAUUGGGUUUAAAGGGAGCGUAGGCCGUGAGGUAAGCGUGUUGUGAAAUGUAGGCGCCCAACGUCUGCACUGCAGCGCGAACUGCCCCACUUGAGUGCGCGCAACGCCGGCGGAACUCGUCGUGUAGCGGUGAAAUGCUUAGAUAUGACGAAGAACCCCGAUUGCGAAGGCAGCUGGCGGGAGCGUAACUGACGCUGAAGCUCGAAAGCGCGGGUAUCGAACAGGAUUAGAUACCCUGGUAGUCCGCGCGGUAAACGAUGGAUGCCCGCUGUGGCGCGCCUGGCGUGCCGCGGCUAAGCGAAAGCAUUAAGCAUCCCACCUGGGGAGUACGCCGGCAACGGUGAAACUC